UGCAGAUGUCUUGUGGCAGGAAGUUUUGGCUGAGAUGCUUUCAAUGUAUGUCCUGCAGGACACCAUAUGGUAUGGAGAAACACUGCGGGGAAAGAUAUUGAUUACUUCACUGAAGGAGUAGACGGGUAAGAGCUUCCACUUCACACCUCUGUGACACACUCUCACACACACAUAUGAGAAAGUGGAUGUGGGAAUCAGACACAGACAUGCACACUUCUCACUGUUCCCACUGUCAAUCACAGGUUUCUAGGAGCUCAUCCCUGGUCCCUGCCGUUCCAGCUCGGAUAUGCUGGCCGCUCUAAUAAAGGCCUCAUUGUCUGCAUGGCAUGCAUAUAUGCAAAAAGCCCAGAAAGCCAGCUUUGUCCCAUAAGGGUCGCUCAGCGAGAGAGCUUUGUGCCUUUCCCCAUAGAAAUACUGAGAAAGAAAGAAAGAAAGAAAGAAAGAAAGAAAGAAAGAAAGAAAGAAAUGAAGAAAUGAAGAAAUGAAGGAAAAAUGAAAGAAAGAAGGAAGAAAUCAGUGUGAUAAAUACGGGCAUCCUGAUAAUAUGAAACUAUUUCCACUGCAGAUGCCUUGGUUGGAGCUGGCUGCACAUGUCUGGCCAUCAAGCUGCUAUUUCUGCCCGUGCCAGUCGCUCCAGGAUUGCAGCUAUGAGAAGAGAGCUUUGAAGAGCUGUCCAGGUAGUCUAUUUUUUCUUCUAGAGUCUAAAAUCAGGAAGCACCAUUCACUAACCAGAUGAGAUCCCCAGAUGUUUUUCUCACAAGGGAGGAAUGUGAAGACCUGUCAGGAUUUGGGACAGAUGUCAGAUGAGCUAUUUAAUCUGGAUGCACUUUUUAUACAGUGUGUCUGGAUCUGAUGUAAGGAAAAGCAUGACCUAACCCACAGUUAUAACUUAUGUAUGACUUGGAGAUGGUAAAGGUGUCUGAGCAUUAAUCUCCAAAAUUCCCUUUCCAUUUUAAAGCUUAAGCAUUGUGGCUAACACAGUCUUUUUAGUGGACAGUUUUCUUUAGAAUAUUACCAAAAAAUAAAAAAUCCAUAGUGGAAUUCUUCAUUUACUAAGUGGACAGGUUAAUCAACCAGAACAUUAGUAAGAUAAGAUGUAACAGUAGACAUAAAAGCAUUACAGGUAGCAUAUUCUUUCCUUAAUUUGUGCUUUCUAAGGAUUUCACCAUUUGAACAUUAUAAAUAUUAAGAAUAAUUCAUGGCAGCAUUUGACAACAUUCAAUACAUUUCUUUUUCCACAAUAUAUUAAUUGUGUGGUAUAUGUACAAUGUUGUGAAAACAGUUUGCCUUUUUUACAGUGGAGAAAAGCUAUUUAGCUAGUACAGCAUUUUAGAAACAGAAUACCAAACAUGGUGGUUGCAGUGUGAUGACCUUGGGCUGCUUUUUUGCUUCAUGACCUGGCAAACUUGAUAUUAUUCCAGGAACCAUUAAUUCUACUCUCUAACUUAAAUUUAUGAAGGAGAAUGUUGUCCAGUUGUGAUAUAACAAUUUACCACAGGACAAAAAUCUAAAGUCAGUCCACUUUUAAACUUCUCACACUAAAAGUUUUGGAGAGACUUAAUUAAAGUCUGUUCUGAAAUCCAAUCGAGAUGCUGUGGUCUGACUUUAAACAGGUCAUCCAUGCUUGAAAAUUCUCCACUUUGGCUAAAUUAAAACAAUUCUGGAAAGAAGAGUGGGCCUAAAUUCUUCCACUUAAAUGUAGAAUACUCAUUAUGACGUAUUCCUCAACAACAUUUAGUUACAACAUAAUUGACUUUCUCAGAGCAGUUACUUUGACAAAAUCAAUGCAAAUUUUGUUCUAGUGACAAAAAUCUGGCAUCAUAAAUUGUCUGUCUAUGCUGCCAGACAAUUGUUUUAAAUCAGUUGUCUGGCAGCAUGUAGAAGAAUAAAACAGCCACAGUGUGUCUGUUUCAUCAAAUCAGUUGAAUCUUCCUGAUUCAACUGAAAGAUUGUCUCCCAUCUUGCAAGCUAACUUGACAACCAAAACAUUAAUGAAUUUUACAUGUUGGUCAUGGUUCUCUCAUACUAACUCUCAUAUCUUUCCAGCUUGUACUUCAGAUCUUUUUAUCCUAACUACUGAGACUGUUUCUGUGCAACCUACAAACCUGUACACGGAUAAAUAAAUAAAUAAUCCCAUGCUCAGACACUUACUGCACACUAACAGAUUCCAGAAAAAAAACCCAAAACAAAUAAAUGUAGUGGAAAACAAACUCAUUUUCUCACCAUACUCUCCUUCCCACUCUGAGUUUAUGUUUUUGUUGCAGUUUCAGGAUAAUGGGGCAGUAUGUUUUGUAUUUACCUUUGGCAGUAUGGCUUAGCAAAUUCCAAAUGUUUCUUUUGAAGUAUGUGUGUGUGUUUGUGAGAAUGCCUCUAAUUGGACUCUGGGUUUAUUGUUCGUACAAGACUGUGAUGUUAGAGGCUUCAAUUGUUUGCCUCCCAGUUAGAAAAAUGCAGUAACCAUUGUUUUCUUUCAGUCAGUUUAUGCGCACCUGUUUUUAUUUCUCAUGUUGUGAGUCCUCAGAUCAGUUGACACAUUCAUAUUUUUAGGUAUCAGAUUCCAAAAUGCUACAUUUAUGGCACAUUUUAAUCCACUCUUUGAUAAAACAAUGUUUUUACUCUACAAACUAAAUAUAUGAUUUUGAACCUAUACUGUAAAGAUCAAGCAACUAACAAAGUGGCUUUUAAUGAUAGUACAUUACAGAUGCCCUGAUCCUUAAACACCCUUACAUUAAUAAUGCCCAUUUCCAAUACUCCUGUACACCAAUUGUUGACAUUUAUACCUUUGUACAUCUGCUUCUCUUCUUGUAUAUUUCAGUUGUCUGGGAAUUUUCAGGCCCCUUCAUUCCUUGUGACACAUCUACUUGAUGGCUAAUAAAUGAUUCUUAUCCUUAUUCAUUGAUAAGAGACAAUCAUUGGCAAUUAGCUCUGCUCCAUUUGCUUUGGAGUAGGACUAGCCUGUUGGCAGCUCCUGUUAUUGAGAUCAAUCAGUUAAAGUGUAGCACUAAAGCUUGGAGGGCAGUGUGCGUGUUUGUGUGUGGGUGUUAAACUCCCUGUGUGAUCUAGCCUGGAUGACUGCCCUCUUGAGAUCUUGGGCGAUUAGUGUGGAAAUUACUCUCAGAUUGCUGUGCAUUGUGCCCCAUAGACUGCAUGUGUUCCUGUGCAAAAGGCCAUCUCCCCUUGGAAUACAUAUAGGCAUGAGGCCCUUCAGCUGAGUCAAGACUAAAGGUUAAACCUGAGUAUUUUACCAGCUGAC
This is a long non-coding RNA of Xiphophorus hellerii (green swordtail), 3253 nucleotides long. RefSeq lists it as uncharacterized. The transcript has 5 exons. The record is from RefSeq and is a predicted model, not a curated record. Lineage: Eukaryota; Metazoa; Chordata; Actinopteri; Cyprinodontiformes; Poeciliidae.